Molecule: long non-coding RNA, 2151 nt
Organism: Scylla paramamosain (green mud crab)
Lineage: Eukaryota; Metazoa; Arthropoda; Malacostraca; Decapoda; Portunidae
Exons: 5
Source: RefSeq, a predicted model, not a curated record
GGUUAGCUGUAUGAUAGAUGUAUACCCACAAUACACGCACCCUUAACCGCUCGUUCCUGCCUCCCUCAUCUCCCCCUACCCACGCUCUCAUCCGCGCCCCAUACUAUCGCAUAUAAAAACACCACUUAAACACCCCUUAUACCAGCCCUGACCCACACGCCUCCCCUGCCCAUCACUCCUUAUAAAAACUCUGCAUAUACCCCAUACUAUCGCGCCACUCCUUAAUCUCCUCUUCCCGCACGCUACCUGCUGCUCAUCCGGAACUAGUUUUGAGCGCGGAUGUUUACUGGGUACGCGCCGCCGCCCGCCCGCCAGUCACGUGUCAUUCAGUACACAGAGGGUCGUGAGUCUUGGUGCUGAGGUGCGCUGGCCAGGUGUGUUGGCUAGGAGGUACGUGACCGGUCCGUGGACGUGGCAAGGACGGUGUUGCUCUCGGAAUAUAAGUUUGAAGGUGACCAGAUUCUACCGAACAGCGGACGAUACUGGAGAGAGAGAAGAGAAAGAGAAGAGAAGAGAAGAGAAGAGAAGAGAGAGAGAGCAGGUGUGACAUUCCCUCUAGAUCAGGUCACGAGGUCCUCCAGAAAAGCGACACCAGGAGCCGCGUGGAAGGGAACGAGUGGCCAGUGUGAGAACCAAGACACCUUUCCCGAGGGUGACCAGCAGGGCGAGGGAGGGAGCGACGUGUGCUGUGGCUGAAAAGCCAGACGUUAAUGACAACUGUGAUGGAUCGAGUCGCGGCUCCACGUGUGACCCCCGCCAGGCCGCCGCUGCCACCCUCCCGCGACCUCUCAGGGAAAGAUUCACGGUGACGCAACACGCAAAAAUGGACGAGAAGGCGAUGCACGUAAGGACAAAACUAAAUUAUAAGUCUUAACGAAUGAUGGAAUGUCUUAAAUAAAAGGGAGUUGUGUUUUUUCUUACUCCUGUGACGCCGGCGUGAUGAGCUUGAUGCCGUGAGUCAAGAUUAGCGUCAGGGCGUGUGAAAGUUUUCUCUGUGGAGUCUCCAAAGGUUUAGCAAGCAUGAUUUUUCACGCUUACUCGUUCAGUUAGAAGGCGAACCGUUUUCUUUCUCUUUUUUUUUCUCUACCUUCGCAGUUCUUAAUGGUGAUGAAUAGGAUGUGGAAGAGUGAUGGUGGAGGCGGAAGAGGUGUGAUUAGUAGUGCUUUCUGCCACAAGUGGAUUAUUAGUGGUGAAAAAUUGUCACCUUUCCCUAACUGAAUAACACGCUGCAAGAGACACGAAGCCGCUAGUAUUCCCUGCCAUGCAUUAUGUAACCCUAGUAAUUAUGCCUUUUCCAGGAGUACAUUUCUCGCGUUCUGUUUCUUCUUAGUGGGACGGGACUGUAACUUGAGCUUAAUCUUACCUGCAGGAUAGAACACCUUAUAUAACAAUCCCUUCCUCUUUAUAUUUAUCAUUUUAAUUGUUUAUAGUUUGGUGGUAUAUGGUGCUACGGUUCUAUGCAUUGUGUUGUGUAUUGAUAACUUGCUGUAUGAAUUAUCAGCCUGGCUUGGUGUAUGUAUGACUUUUGUAACUGUUUGUGUUACGUGGCAGUGACAGGUGGUGGUUUAUCAUGGUGUUGGUGUUGCUGGUGUUGUGUUGUGCAGUGCGAUGUGUGUUGACAUGUGACAAUGUGGUGUUGUACAAUGUGUGUGGUGUGAGGUGUCGCUGUAUCGGCGUUACCACUAAUGUUUGUAUUCAUGAAGAUGUAGCGACGAGAGUUACCAAAUCUUGUGAUGUAACCUGGUGUCAUUAACACAUCAUUUAGCCCUAAUGAACAUUCCUCCCCCAGAGACUGAAAUAAAUUUUUUGCUGGUAAUUCCAACGUCCCAGCGCAUACAUCGUCUGGGAAUUAUGCAAUCGCUGCCUCUACUGCUGCUUCUGCUUCUCCUGCGGGGCACAUACCGGCUGUUACUGACAAGACACAGCUCUUAUACGUGAUGAAGUUGAGAAUGGAGAAAAUAUCAGCGCAGUUUGAUUGCAGCCACAGGGACAGGAUGGCUGGGGAUCAAAAAGACAAGGUAGGGGGAGGGGAGAGUAGAGGUGGGACGCUUCCUAUAUUUGGGCGAUCUGGGGCCUGCCGCUGUACUCCUCUGUAUGCUGCCAGACCAGCCUCCCGCGUGGGCUGAGAAUACUGACCAAGGACAUGUUGGA